Molecule: ribosomal RNA, 1089 nt
Filed under: Leuconostoc mesenteroides
Lineage: Bacteria; Bacillati; Bacillota; Bacilli; Lactobacillales; Lactobacillaceae
Description: bacterial SSU rRNA
Rfam family: Bacterial small subunit ribosomal RNA
Source: RNAcentral
GGAAGUUUACGCUAGCUAUAAUGCGGUCGAUCGCACAGCGAAAGGUGCUUGCACCUUUCAAGUGAGUGGCGAACGGGUGAGUAACACGUGGACAACCUGCCUCAAGGCUGGGGAUAACAUUUGGAAACAGAUGCUAAUACCGAAUAAAACUUAGUGUCGCAUGACACAAAGUUAAAAGGCGCUUCGGCGUCACCUAGAGAUGGAUCCGCGGUGCAUUAGUUAGUUGGUGGGGUAAAGGCCUACCAAGACAAUGAUGCAUAGCCGAGUUGAGAGACUGAUCGGCCACAUUGGGACUGAGACACGGCCCAAACUCCUACGGGAGGCUGCAGUAGGGAAUCUUCCACAAUGGGCGAAAGCCUGAUGGAGCAACGCCGCGUGUGUGAUGAAGGCUUUCGGGUCGUAAAGCACUGUUGUAUGGGAAGAACAGCUAGAAUAGGAAAUGAUUUUAGUUUGACGGUACCAUACCAGAAAGGGACGGCUAAAUACGUGCCAGCAGCCGCGGUAAUACGUAUGUCCCGAGCGUUAUCCGGAUUUAUUGGGCGUAAAGCGAGCGCAGACGGUUUAUUAAGUCUGAUGUGAAAGCCCGGAGCUCAACUCCGGAAUGGCAUUGGAAACUGGUUAACUUGAGUGCAGUAGAGGUAAGUGGAACUCCAUGUGUAGCGGUGGAAUGCGUAGAUAUAUGGAAGAACACCAGUGGCGAAGGCGGCUUACUGGACUGCAACUGACGUUGAGGCUCGAAAGUGUGGGUAGCAAACAGGAUUAGAUACCCUGGUAGUCCACACCGUAAACGAUGAACACUAGGUGUUAGGAGGUUUCCGCCUCUUAGUGCCGAAGCUAACGCAUUAAGUGUUCCGCCUGGGGAGUACGACCGCAAGGUUGAAACUCAAAGGAAUUGACGGGGACCCGCACAAGCGGUGGAGCAUGUGGUUUAAUUCGAAGCAACGCGAAGAACCUUACCAGGUCUUGACAUCCUUUGAAGCUUUUAGAGAUAGAAGUGUUCUCUUCGGAGACAAAGUGACAGGUGGUGCAUGGUCGUCGUCAGCUCGUGUCGUGAGAUGUUGGGUUAAGUCCCGCAACGAGCCGCAACCC